RNAcentral lists this long non-coding RNA (722 nucleotides) under Cavia porcellus (domestic guinea pig). Its description in RNAcentral is "lncRNA (ENSCPOG00000033089.1)". The record is from RNAcentral. Lineage: Eukaryota; Metazoa; Chordata; Mammalia; Rodentia; Caviidae.
GCUAGUGAUGGAUCCUGAGCAGAGUUUCAAGUUUUCAUCCCAGGGUAUUGGAGAUGACUUCCACAACAGACCCUCUCUUUCAUGGCGAUUUCAGGCUGUGCAACUGCCAACUCUCUCUCAGCUGGUAGGUUCCAUGCCUUUCCCUCUGAGCUGUGAAGCUUUUGUGCAUGAUGUGUCUAAUGCAUUGCUGACAAGUGAGGCUUCUGCAUCGUUGGAGCCAGGGCAUACCUUGCACACUGCGCUCCUGGGGUGGCCAAAGCCAGGAAUCAGCCCUCUAGCUGGGAGGAGCCUCAGGAAGUUUGGACCAGCGGCUGCCACCAAGCUUCUGCCUCUCCAUCUGUAGUCACCAAACACUAAGUGUGUGCGUGGCUGUCAGCCCAGUCAGCUCCAGUGAGGGUAGCCCAAAUCUACUUGUGAACACCCACUGGCCCAAGAAGUGGAUAUAAGAUGCUUCACAGUUCAUAUUUCUAGGCAAAACACAUGGCUUUUGAGAUUUUAAGCUUCUGAAUUUAGAGUGAUUGUUUUUUUAGUAGGUUAUGGGAACAAGCCACAGACAGAAACAAACAAACAGAAAUUUGCAUCCUGUAAAUAUCACCUUGAUAGAGACAUUUCAUCCAGGGAAAUCCUCCUGCUCCUGUCUCAUUUUCCUCUCUGGUUUUGCCAAGGGAGGAGGAAACCCAGCAAAUGCGUAAAACAUUUUUCCAUAUUUGACUAAAGUUGGC